UACAGAGGUGGCAAGCGUUGUUCGGAAUUACUGGGCGUAAAGGGCGCGUAGGCGGUCCGCUAAGUCCUGUGUGAAAUCCCUCGGCUCAACCGAGGAACUGCACAGGAGACUGGGGGGCUUGAGUUCGGGAGAGGGAAGCGGAAUUCCGGGUGUAGCGGUGAAAUGCGUAGAUAUCCGGAGGAACACCGGUGGCGAAGGCGGCUUCCUGGACCGACACUGACGCUGAGGCGCGAAAGCCAGGGGAG
Molecule: ribosomal RNA, 245 nt
Filed under: uncultured bacterium
Lineage: Bacteria
Description: partial 16S ribosomal RNA
Rfam family: Bacterial small subunit ribosomal RNA
Source: RNAcentral